Molecule: ribosomal RNA, 385 nt
Filed under: uncultured bacterium
Lineage: Bacteria
Description: bacterial SSU rRNA
Rfam family: Bacterial small subunit ribosomal RNA
Source: RNAcentral
AAUGGGGGCAACCCUGAUCCAGCCAUGCCGCGUGAGUGAAGAAGGCCUUAGGGUUGUAAAGCUCUUUCACCCGUGACGAUGAUGACGGUAGCGGGAGAAGAAGCCCCGGCUAAUUCCGUGCCAGCAGCCGCGGUAAUACGGAAGGGGCUAGCGUUGUUCGGAAUUACUGGGCGUAAAGCGCGCGUAGGCGGCCAUGCAAGUGAGGCGUGAAAGGCCUGGGCUCAAACUGGGAACNGCGCUUCAGUCUGCACGGCUCGAGUCCGGGAGAGGGUGGUGGAAUUCCCAGUGUAGAGGUGAAAUUCGUAGAUAUUCGGAAGAACACCAGUGGCGAAGGCGACUGACUGGACAAGUAUUGACGCUGAGGUGCGAAAGCGUGGGGAGCAAA